AACGAACGCUGGCGGCAUGCCUAACACAUGCAAGUCGAACGAGACCUUCGGGUCUAGUGGCGCACGGGUGCGUAACGCGUGGGAACCUGCCCUUAGGUUCGGAAUAACUCCCCGAAAGGGGUGCUAAUACCGGAUAAUGUCUUCGGACCAAAGAUUUAUCGCCUUUGGAUGGGCCCGCGUUGGAUUAGCUAGUUGGUAGGGUAAAAGCCUACCAAGGCGACGAUCCAUAGCUGGUCUGAGAGGAUGAUCAGCCACACUGGGACUGAGACACGGCCCAGACUCCUAAGGGAGGCAGGAGUGGGGAAUAUUGGACAAUGGGCGAAAGCCUGAUCCAGCAAUGCCGCGUGAGUGAUGAAGGCCUUAGGGUUGUAAAGCUCUUUUACCCGGGAUGAUAAUGACAGUACCGGGAGAAUAAGCUCCGGCUAACUCCGUG
Molecule: ribosomal RNA, 433 nt
Filed under: uncultured bacterium
Lineage: Bacteria
Description: partial 16S ribosomal RNA
Rfam family: Bacterial small subunit ribosomal RNA
Source: RNAcentral